CAGUCGCCGCGGUAAUACGGAGGGUGCAAGCGUUAAUCGGAAUUACUGGGCGUAAAGCGCACGCAGGCGGUCUGACAAGUCAGAUGUGAAAUCCCCGGGCUUAACCUGGGAACUGCAUUUGAAACUGUCAGGCUGGAGUCUUGUAGAGGGGGGUGGAAUUCCAGGUGUAGCGGUGAAAUGCGUAGAGAUCUGGAGGAAUACCGGUGGCGAAGGCGGCCCCCUGGACAAAGACUGACGCUCAGGUGCGAAAGCGUGGGGAGCAAACAGGAUUAGAUACCCCGGUAGUCCCUGUCUCUUAUCC
This 301-nucleotide ribosomal RNA is filed under the name uncultured bacterium. Its description in RNAcentral is "partial 16S ribosomal RNA". It matches the Rfam family "Bacterial small subunit ribosomal RNA", at positions 509 to 809 of the family's 1533-position model. The record is from RNAcentral.